CUCUCACUCUCUCUCUCUGUCCAAAAACAGAAAUAGACAAAUUCAUCCCUCGUGGAAGGUUUGUACCCUUACUUAAAAAGCAACCAGAAAAAUCCCACAAGUGAAUUACCAGAAGCAACAACACUUAGAGAUUAUGUUACUGUUCAAUAAGAAUAAACAAAACCUAAUCAUAAAAUUGGUCUAAAGAUUCAGCUGGCAAUAUUUAAAGCAACUACAAAACUCCAUAAUUAUUCUAUCUUAAUCGAAAGUUAAGCCUAUACAAGCAAAUCCAAUAUCAGAUGUAUGCAUCAUCUGUUCUACUCCUCUUCUACAUCUUAAACACUGUUUGACACAUGUCACAUGCGGAGAUAUACCUUUUCUAACUACUAUUUGACAACAUCAAUAAAUGAGGCUGACAUCUUCAUGUGCCGUAGCCUGUAGGUGUAACAAAUCAACUUUGUAAUUUUCCAAAUUCUCUUUCUUUUUCUCCUUACACUAAAAAAUCAUAUAAUGCUAUAAAAUCCAAUAAAAUAUUAUAAAA
This 520-nucleotide unclassified non-coding RNA is filed under the name Hevea brasiliensis (rubber tree). The record is from RNAcentral. Lineage: Eukaryota; Viridiplantae; Streptophyta; Magnoliopsida; Malpighiales; Euphorbiaceae.